This 116-nucleotide small RNA is filed under the name Marmota monax (woodchuck). The record is from RNAcentral. Lineage: Eukaryota; Metazoa; Chordata; Mammalia; Rodentia; Sciuridae.
GUAGGACAUUUCGGAUGCAUCUGUAAUCCUAGCUACUUAGGAGGCUGAAGCACGAGGAUCACUUGAGCCCAGGAGUUCAGGGAUUGCCUGGGCAACACAGUAAGACCCAGUCUCAA